This 497-nucleotide ribosomal RNA is filed under the name uncultured bacterium. Its description in RNAcentral is "partial 16S ribosomal RNA". It matches the Rfam family "Bacterial small subunit ribosomal RNA", at positions 28 to 507 of the family's 1533-position model. The record is from RNAcentral.
GAUGAACGCUGGCGGCGUGCCUAAUACAUGCAAGUCGAGCGAACAGACGAGGAGCUUGCUCCUCUGACGUUAGCGGCGGACGGGUGAGUAACACGUGGAUAACCUACCUAUAAGACUGGGAUAACUUCGGGAAACCGGAGCUAAUACCGGAUAAUAUAUUGAACCGCAUGGUUCAAUAGUGAAAGCCGGUUUUGCUGUCACUUAUAGAUGGAUCCGCGCCGCAUUAGCUAGUUGGUAAGGUAACGGCUUACCAAGGCAACGAUGCGUAGCCGACCUGAGAGAGUGAUCGGCCACACUGGAACUGAGACACGGUCCAGACUCCUACGGGAGGCAGCAGUAGGGAAUCUUCCGCAAUGGGCGAAAGCCUGACGGAGCAACGCCGCGUGAGUGAUGAAGGUCUUCGGAUCGUAAAACUCUGUUAUUAGGGAAGAACAAAUGUGUAAGUAACUAUGCACGUCUUGACGGUACCUAAUCAGAAAGCCACGGCUAACUACGUG